This 65-nucleotide transfer RNA is filed under the name Athetis thoracica. RNAcentral describes it as "tRNA-Thr". It matches the Rfam family "tRNA". From Rfam's summary of the family: Transfer RNA (tRNA) molecules are approximately 80 nucleotides in length. Their secondary structure includes four short double-helical elements and three loops (D, anti-codon, and T loops). The record is from RNAcentral. Lineage: Eukaryota; Metazoa; Arthropoda; Insecta; Lepidoptera; Noctuidae.
GUUUUUAUAGUUAAAAAAAAAUAUUGGUCUUGUAAACCAAAGUUAAGUUAAAUACUUUAAAAACU